This 777-nucleotide ribosomal RNA is filed under the name uncultured bacterium. RNAcentral's name for it is "bacterial SSU rRNA". It matches the Rfam family "Bacterial small subunit ribosomal RNA", at positions 8 to 796 of the family's 1533-position model. The record is from RNAcentral.
AGAGUUUGAUCCUGGCUCAGGAUCAACGCUGGCGGCGUGCCUAAUGCAUGCAAGUCGAGCGCGGGCUUCUUCGGGAGUGCUGCGGCGGACGGGUGCGUAACACGUGGGCAACCUGCCCUGGGGUGGGGGAUAGCCGUGGGAAACCGCGGGUAAUUCCGCAUACGAGCCGUUCUCGUAGGGGGACGGCUGAAAGACGCUUCGGCGUCGCCCUUGGAGGGGCCUGCGGCCGAUUAGCUAGUUGGGGGGGUAACGGCUUCCCAAGGCAGUGAUCGGUAGCUGGUCUGAGAGGACGGCCAGCCACACGGGGACUGAGACACGGCCCCGACUCCUACGGGAGGCAGCAGCAAGGAAUCUUCCGCAAUGGGGGCAACCCUGACGGAGCAACGCCGCGUGGGGGAUGACGCGCUUCGGCGUGUAAACCCCUUUUCUGCGGGAAGAAGGACUUCGGUCUUGACGGUACCGCAGGAAGAAGGACCGGCUAACUACGUGCCAGCAGCCGCGGUAAUACGUAGGGUCCGAGCGUUGUCCGGAGUUACUGGGCGUAAAGCGCGCGCAGGCGGCGGUGCUGGCCCGGCGUGAAAGCCCCCGGCUCAACCGGGGAGGGUCGUCGGGGACCGCACCGCUUGAGGGCGGUAGGGGCUGGUGGAAUGCCUGGUGUAGUGGUGAAAUGCGUAGAGAUCAGGCGGAACACCCGUGGCGAAGGCGGCCAGCUGGGCCGUCCCUGACGCUGAGGCGCGAAGGCGUGGGGACGAACGGGAUUAGAUACCCUAGUAGUCC